GAUGAACGCUGGCGGCGUGCCUAAUACAUGCAAGUCGAGCGAACGGACGAGAAGUUUGCUCCCCCGAUGGUAGCGGCGGACGGGUGAUUAACAUGUGGAUAACCUACCUAUAAGACUGGGAUAACUUUGGGAAACCGUAUCUAAUACCGGAUAAUAUUUUGAACCGCAUGGUUCAAGAGUUAAAUUCGGUCUUUCUUUCACUUAUAGAUUGAUCCGCGCUGCAUCAGCUAGUUGGUAAGGUAACGGCUUACCAAGGCAACGAUGCAUAGCCGACCUGAGAGCGUCAUCGCACACACGGGAACUGAGGCUCAGCACAGACUCCUACAGGAGGACGCAGUCGAGACUCUUCCGCAAUGCGCCAGUGGCUAACGUUACAAAGCCGCGUGAGUGAUGAACGACUUAUGAUCGUAAAACUAUGUUAUUCGGGGAGUACGAAAGUGUAAGUAACUGUGCACAUCUUGACGGUACCUAGUCAGAAAGCCACGGCUAACUACGUG
Molecule: ribosomal RNA, 497 nt
Filed under: uncultured bacterium
Lineage: Bacteria
Description: partial 16S ribosomal RNA
Rfam family: Bacterial small subunit ribosomal RNA
Source: RNAcentral